CGAUAACGGCGUCGAGCGGCGGACGGGUGAGUAAUGCCUAGGAAAUUGCCCUGAUGUGGGGGAUAACCAUUGGAAACGAUGGCUAAUACCGCAUGAUGCCUACGGGCCAAAGAGGGGGACCUUCGGGCCUCUCGCGUCAGGAUAUGCCUAGGUGGGAUUAGCUAGUUGGUGAGGUAAGGGCUCACCAAGGCGACGAUCCCUAGCUGGUCUGAGAGGAUGAUCAGCCACACUGGAACUGAGACACGGUCCAGACUCCUACGGGAGGCAGCAGUGGGGAAUAUUGCACAAUGGGCGCAAGCCUGAUGCAGCCAUGCCGCGUGUGUGAAGAAGGCCUUCGGGUUGUAAAGCACUUUCAGUCGUGAGGAAGGUAGUGUAGUUAAUAGCUGCAUUAUUUGACGUUAGCGACAGAAGAAGCACCGGCUAACUCCGUGCCAGCAGCCGCGGUAAUACGGAGGGUGCGAGCGUUAAUCGGAAUUACUGGGCGUAAAGCGCAUGCAGGUGGUUUGUUAAGUCAGAUGUGAAAGCCCGGGGCUCAACCUCGGAAUUGCAUUUGAAACUGGCAGACUAGAGUACUGUAGAGGGGGGUAGAAUUUCAGGUGUAGCGGUGAAAUGCGUAGAGAUCUGAAGGAAUACCGGUGGCGAAGGCGGCCCCCUGGACAGAUACUGACACUCAGAUGCGAAAGCGUGGGGAGCAAACAGGAUUAGAUACCCUGGUAGUCCACGCCGUAAACGAUGUCUACUUGGAGGUUGUGGCCUUGAGCCGUGGCUUUCGGAGCUAACGCGUUAAGUAGACCGCCUGGGGAGUACGGUCGCAAGAUUAAAACUCAAAUGAAUUGACGGGGGGCCCGCACAAGCGGUGGAGCAUGUGGUUUAAUUCGAUGCAACGCGAAGA
RNAcentral lists this ribosomal RNA (892 nucleotides) under Vibrio parahaemolyticus. Its description in RNAcentral is "bacterial SSU rRNA". It matches the Rfam family "Bacterial small subunit ribosomal RNA", at positions 77 to 967 of the family's 1533-position model. The record is from RNAcentral. Lineage: Bacteria; Pseudomonadati; Pseudomonadota; Gammaproteobacteria; Vibrionales; Vibrionaceae.